Monodelphis domestica (gray short-tailed opossum) is the source of this 917-nucleotide long non-coding RNA. RefSeq lists it as uncharacterized. The record is from RefSeq and is a predicted model, not a curated record. NCBI's taxonomy places the organism in Eukaryota, Metazoa, Chordata, Mammalia, Didelphimorphia, Didelphidae.
GUGAGAGAAUCUGGACAGUUGGAAAGGACUUCUCUCUUGGUGGAAAGCUCACCAGAAAGGUGGCCCAGAGUAGGUCUCUGAGGUGGCACCAUUGUAAAGAUGAGAUUGCAACACAAAAGAGAUUUGCAAGAAAAAAACAAGAGAGUUGGAAUUUGGUGAACCACCAAUCAACCAGGUGGAGACAAGAUUCCAAUAGAAUCUUGGCCAGGGGACAGUUGGGAAGCCUAGCAGCUUGAACUAACUUGUGCUUUCCUCUGACUGUUGGAAGGAAGCAGGAAAACCAAUUCCUUUCUUGGUCAAUGAUUAUUUAUCUGACUGAGUAAUAAGAAGAUUUGGAGCUUAGCUCUGAAGAAUCUCUGUUAGCUUUUGCUAUCAAUAUCUCCCUAUAAAGAAAAUAACCUUAUUUUCUGAAUUGAACACAUUGUGAAAAUCUUCAAUCAACAGGAAAUCAUAGGAAGCAAUGGGGAGCUACAGAAGACUUUUGAGCAGGGCAGGCAUAUAAGGAGACCCAUCUCUUAGCCAAUUUGAAAUCAGUGGAGAGGAAGGUCUACAAAAGGGCAGAGAUUCUACACAGGGAAAGCAGUUUGGAAGUGCCUUUCUUCUUAAAGCUCUGUAUAUCUCUCUGAGCCCAUGCCAGAGAAGUGAAAGGCAGAGCACUACGUGGUUUUAUACAUACCACUCAGUCAGCAUAACUGCCUCCCUUUGGGUCCUUAUGGAUGAAGCAUAAGGCUUGAUUACUUUCAGGCAAGUCAAGUCUAGCUGCAGGUGUUACUGGUGGAAGAUUUAGUCACGGAAGACUCAACACAAAGGCUGAAUCUGAAAUAUCCCAAAAGAAAAAAAAAAUCUAGGUACACAACCUCCCCUCACUGAAAAUAACUAUACUAUUAAUUAAAAAACAAAAAUGAAAUCUUUAUCCA